AUGCCAAUGAGUUUCUCCAUGGAUAAUCAUGGCGAAGGUUGCAACACCGGCGAGUGGACGACGAUGUUGGAGGCAGUAAUUUCUUUUUGCUACAACCGGCCGAAGCAAGAGCUAGAACCACAGUUGAUUUUUGCUGCAUAUAAGCAAGUUGGAACCACAGUUGGUUUUUGCUAUGACCACAUCACCUUCUUUGCUACAAGUGGGCGGCAACGACAAACGAUUGUAACCGAGAGACCAGAGAGCUGCAAACCACGCUCUGAAAAGGCUACGACUAACAACAAAAGCGACCAAGCCUGUUGGAAAAAAGCUUCAACCGGUGUGCACAAAAGUUUCAACCGGCGUGAGAAAAAACUUCAACCUGGUGUGGAGCGAUGA
RNAcentral lists this ribosomal RNA (375 nucleotides) under Triticum aestivum (bread wheat). Its description in RNAcentral is "partial small subunit ribosomal RNA". Lineage: Eukaryota; Viridiplantae; Streptophyta; Magnoliopsida; Poales; Poaceae. The record is from RNAcentral.